Molecule: unclassified non-coding RNA, 418 nt
Filed under: Zea mays
Lineage: Eukaryota; Viridiplantae; Streptophyta; Magnoliopsida; Poales; Poaceae
Description: misc RNA Zm00001eb190940
Source: RNAcentral
CGACUCGGCCUCGCCGUCGGGCUCAUGGUCCGCGGCGCCUCCGCCCGCCGCGGCGGAGCAGGAGGAGGAGGAGGACGGGGCCGGGGAGAAGCAGCCGCCGAGGUGGUCGCAGACGAGGUCCUCGAGGUCGCGGCGGAAGUCGGCGGCGGCGCCCAUGCGCUGGUGGUGGUGGUGGUACUCGUCCAUGUCGUUUUGUCUGUCGCAAUAGAUAGAUGGGGUGCCCUAACCCUAACGCGAGGAGAAGAGAUUGUUGGCUGGGAAAUGGCUAAUGCGGAGGCGACGGGGUGGGGAUUAGGGCGGGGUUGGGGCCGCGGCGAGGAGGCGGCAUUCGCGAGCGAUUGGAGGUUGGAUUGCGAGCCAGAGCCGGAGAGACGGCUACAGCCAGCCUCGGGGACGGCGGGGAGGGGGUUGGAUUGGG